GGGUUGUGAGGUUAAGCGACUAAGCGUACACGGUGGAUGCCUAGGCAGUCAGAGGCGAUGAAGGGCGUGCUAAUCUGCGAAAAGCGUCGGCAAGGUGAUAUGAACCGUUACACCCGACGAUACCCGAAUGGGGAAACCCAGUGCAAUACGUUGCACUAUUUCAUGGUGAAUACAUAGCCAUGAAAGGCGAACCGGGGGAACUGAAACAUCUCAGUACCCCGAGGAAAAGAAAUCAACCGAGAUUCCCCCAGUAGCGGCGAGCGAACGGGGAGGAGCCCAGAACCAUCAUCAGUUUGUGUGUUAGUGGAAGCGUCUGGAAAGUCGCACG
This 328-nucleotide ribosomal RNA is filed under the name Brenneria nigrifluens. Its description in RNAcentral is "bacterial LSU rRNA". It matches the Rfam family "Bacterial large subunit ribosomal RNA", at positions 1 to 356 of the family's 2925-position model. Lineage: Bacteria; Pseudomonadati; Pseudomonadota; Gammaproteobacteria; Enterobacterales; Pectobacteriaceae. The record is from RNAcentral.